GUGCCAGCAGCCGCGGUAAUACGUAGGGGGCAAGCGUUGUCCGGAAUUAUUGGGCGUAAAGCGCGCGCAGGCGGUUCCUUAAGUCUGAUGUGAAAGGCCACAGCUCAGCUGUGGAGGGCCAUUGGAAACUGGGGAACUUGAGGACAGAAGAGGAGAGCGGAAUUCCACGUGUAGCGGUGAAAUGCGUAGAUAUGUGGAGGAACACCAGUGGCGAAGGCGGCUCUCUGGUCUGUAACUGACGCUGAGGCGCGAAAGCAUGGGUAGCGAACAGGAUUAGAAACCCUGGUGGUCC
RNAcentral lists this ribosomal RNA (292 nucleotides) under uncultured prokaryote. RNAcentral's name for it is "partial 16S ribosomal RNA". It matches the Rfam family "Bacterial small subunit ribosomal RNA", at positions 505 to 796 of the family's 1533-position model. The record is from RNAcentral.